AUGGAAGAAAUAUCUUCAACUGGAAAUGAAAACCAUGAUGAUGUUAGUCUGCAACAUCAAAUUAUGGUGUUUGCGGAGGUAAAGGAGAGUCAAGUUAGAGUCGGCGUUGUUUCGAAAAUGGUAAUUGGAUGUGAGAGUAAUUGGGUUUUGAGUGAAAGUUGUAAACAAACAAAUAAGGAAGAUGAACCUUGGGCUUCGAGGAUUCCAGUUUAUUCUUCAAUGGUUCAUGGAGCUCGUGUUGGUUUGCUGUUUUGCUGA
Non-coding RNA from Vicia faba (fava bean), 258 nucleotides. The record is from the annotation of a GenBank genome assembly. Lineage: Eukaryota; Viridiplantae; Streptophyta; Magnoliopsida; Fabales; Fabaceae.